UAGAGUUUGAUCCUGGCUCAGAUUGAACGCUGGCGGCAUGCUUUACACAUGCAAGUCGAACGGCAGCGCGGGCUUCGGCCUGGCGGCGAGUGGCGAACGGGUGAGUAAUAUAUCGGAACGUACCCAAGAGUGGGGGAUAACGUAGCGAAAGUUACGCUAAUACCGCAUACGAUCCAAGGAUGAAAGCAGGGGACCGCAAGGCCUUGUGCUCCUGGAACGGCCGAUAUCUGAUUAGCUAGUUGGUGAGGUAAAGGCUCACCAAGGCAACGAUCAGUAGCUGGUCUGAGAGGACGACCAGCCACACUGGAACUGAGACACGGUCCAGACUCCUACGGGAGGCAGCAGUGGGGAAUUUUGGACAAUGGGGGCAACCCUGAUCCAGCAAUGCCGCGUGAGUGAAGAAGGCCUUCGGGUUGUAAGGCUCUUUUGUCAGGGAAGAAAAGGGAGUGGCUAAUAUCCAUUCCUGCUGACGGUACCUGAAGAAUAAGCACCGGCUAACUACGUGCCAGCAGCCGCGGUAAUACGUAGGGUGCAAGCGUUAAUCGGAAUUACUGGGCGUAAAGCGUGCGCAGGCGGUUUCGUAAGUCUGUCGUGAAAGCCCCGGGCUUAACCUGGGAAUUGCGAUGGAGACUGCAAGGCUUGAAUCUGGCAGAGGGGGGUAGAAUUCCACGUGUAGCAGU
RNAcentral lists this ribosomal RNA (680 nucleotides) under bacterium enrichment culture clone ADE_21. RNAcentral's name for it is "bacterial SSU rRNA". It matches the Rfam family "Bacterial small subunit ribosomal RNA", at positions 1 to 682 of the family's 1533-position model. The record is from RNAcentral.